This 253-nucleotide ribosomal RNA is filed under the name uncultured bacterium. RNAcentral's name for it is "partial 16S ribosomal RNA". It matches the Rfam family "Bacterial small subunit ribosomal RNA", at positions 524 to 776 of the family's 1533-position model. The record is from RNAcentral.
UACAGAGGUCUCAAGCGUUGUUCGGAAUCACUGGGCGUAAAGGGUGCGUAGGCUGCAUGGAAAGUCAGAUGUGAAAUCCGCGGGCUCAACCCUCGAAUAGCAUCCGAAACUACCAUGCUAGAGAACUGAAGGGGGGCUUGGAAUUUUCGGUGUAGCAGUGAAAUGCGUAGAUAUCGAAAAGAACGCUCGUGGCGAAGGCGAAGCUCUGGUCAGUAACUGACGCUGAGGCACGAAGGCUAGGGUAGCAAACGGG